AUUGAAUCCUCUUUGAAAGUGCUGUGCCCCCGUUACAACUUUAUUAUCACAAUCAAAUCAAAGCCGUUGCUGUAAAAAGAAAAAUAAUUUACUUUUGCUUGAUCCAAACUAGCUUACUAAUGUUCCUUGAUUGUCACCUCCGCAUUAUCUGUGUUUGUAGUAGCAUUUGUUAUUAUUGGGUUUUGAGAGCUUCUAUCCUCUUCUGAUAGCUGAAAUUUUUAAUUGGUUGUUUUAGGGUAUCAA
This 243-nucleotide unclassified non-coding RNA is filed under the name Hevea brasiliensis (rubber tree). Lineage: Eukaryota; Viridiplantae; Streptophyta; Magnoliopsida; Malpighiales; Euphorbiaceae. The record is from RNAcentral.